AGGGCAGUAUCCAUUGUGAACGGCACCUUCAAAAGCGCAAGAUCCCAUAUUAACCAAUAUCUGCCUUGAUCUUUUUAGACAGGGACGGAAGA
Non-coding RNA from Lysinibacillus sp. F5, 92 nucleotides. Lineage: Bacteria; Bacillati; Bacillota; Bacilli; Caryophanales; Bacillaceae. The record is from Rfam.